UUUCAACUAGUUUCAUUUCCGGAUAGCACUUUAAGCUCCCAUUUUAGUAUAAUAACUCUUUUUAGGGAUUAUAACUUCCGUCACCAUGAUGUAUCGCUGUGGUACGAAAGGAUUGGGAUCAAGUUAUGCAGAUUGUUGAGAGCAAUAUGAUGAGGGAAGGCAGGAAAGACUGAGUCUUAUAGUCUGGUAAUGUACAAGAAAUGUUUAAAACACCUACUUUUUUAAUCAUGAUUUUCCAAUAUGAUUUUAUGUGUAUUGUGAUCCUAAAAUUGGACUUUUUUCUUUAUUGGAUUUUUUGGAAUAUUUAACUGCUUCAGACUUUAUAUAAUAUCACGACAGUAAAGCAAACCACAAAGUAUGUUUUAAUAUAUUUUGCCUAAUACUAUCGUACAGGCCAUCCAUAUAGCAUACUUUUGUUGUAAAAAAACAUGUUAAUAUUUGCACAAUAGGUUUUAAGACUUUGAUUUUUUGAAAGUGAUCAACAAAAGAAAAAAAAAUCAUAGAAUUUUCUUUUAUAUUAUGAUUUUAUUACUCAUGGCAAAAUGGUGUUCGAGAGGUGGCGAAUAAGGAUUUUCUUGCAGCAUUGAAGAACGAUAAUAUGCAAAGAACAGAAAGAAAGGUUCUCUUAACAUAGAAAGUAAAGAAAUAAUGAAGUUCACACUACAGUUGUCAAUCUGGAUGUGUUUCCUUUGUUAUUUGAACACGAUUUAUUUUAACUUACAUAACAAGUAUGUUCUACAAUAAUGAAUAUCUAUAUUAAUAGUAAUGAUAUUCCAUUAAACAUGGACAUGGAAAAAAAAUUCUUUGACAGUGCAAGAUAAGAUAAAUCCAGACAUAGUCAGAUUCUUCAGUUAACUUGGAUGUGUUCCAUUUGUUUCAUCCACAUACUUGAAAUUUGUCUUGUAACUACAUGUACUUUUAUGAGGUUAAGUGGUUAGUAAUCAACCUUUAUCAUAACAUUUUCUUAUUUUGGGAUAGUAUGUAUUUAUGUUGACACUAUGUGUACCUUCAUUCUAUUCAUUUUUCUGUACGAAACAAGACCAAAUGUGUCAUUUUAGUUUAACCAUUUUAAACUGUAUUUAUUAUACUCUUCAUUGAAUAGCUAUUUGUUGAAUAGCCAUUCGUAUAUUAUCAAACAUUUUAACAAAUUUAAAUGUGUUGUUAUUUUGAUUAUAUUGUAUCGGUGUCAUAGGGUACAUGUCCAUUCCUAACCUUCAAGAUAAAACAGAUAUAUUCUUUGUUGAAAAAAUGUGUUCUUUAUGCAUAUACAUAUAGAGUGGCUACAGAGAACUCGACACUUACCAUUUUUCUUACAAAAUAUCUAAGGGGUUUCCUGCAUGUGGUUGCUACAUUCAGUGUACCUUAUGUUAUAUAAUACAUUAUAUAUGAUCAAUAAAACAGAUUAAGA
This is a long non-coding RNA of Mya arenaria, 1408 nucleotides long. RefSeq lists it as uncharacterized. The transcript is spliced from 3 exons. The record is from RefSeq and is a predicted model, not a curated record. NCBI's taxonomy places the organism in Eukaryota, Metazoa, Mollusca, Bivalvia, Myida, Myidae.